RNAcentral lists this unclassified non-coding RNA (240 nucleotides) under soil metagenome. RNAcentral describes it as "partial contains 5.8S ribosomal RNA, internal transcribed spacer 2, and large subunit ribosomal RNA". The record is from RNAcentral.
AACUGAUACUACCUGCGGGAACCUGCGGAGGGAUCAUUACCGAGUGAGGGUCCCUUGAGGGCCCAACCUCCCACCCGUGUUUACGUAUACCAUGUUGCUUCGGCGGGCCCACUGGGGCCUCGUCUCUGGUCGCCGUGGGGGAACCCCGGGGCCCGUGCCUGCCGGAGACCUUUUCAAAACUCUGUGAAAUAGUGAGUUGUCUGAGUGAUAGUUAUCAAUAGUUAAAAAACUUUCAACAAU